This 433-nucleotide ribosomal RNA is filed under the name uncultured bacterium. Its description in RNAcentral is "partial 16S ribosomal RNA". It matches the Rfam family "Bacterial small subunit ribosomal RNA", at positions 29 to 507 of the family's 1533-position model. The record is from RNAcentral.
AACGAACGCUGGCGGCAUGCCUAACACAUGCAAGUCGAACGAGACCUUCGGGUCUAGUGGCGCACGGGUGCGUAACGCGUGGGAACCUGCCCUUAGGUUCGGCAUAACUCCCCGAAAGGGGUGCUAAUACCGGACAAUGUCUUCGGACCAAAGAUUUAUCGCCUUUGGAUGGUCCCGCGUUGGAUUCGCUAGUUGGUAGGGUAAAAGCCUACCAAGGCGACGAUCCAUAGCUGGUCUGAGAGGAUGAUCAGCCACACUGGGAGUGAGACACGGCCCAGACUCCUACGGGAGGCAGCAGUGGGGAAUAGUGGACAAUGGGCGAAAGCCUGAUCCAGCAAGGCCGCGUGAGUGAUGAAGGCCUUAGAGUUGUAAAGCUCUUUUACCCGGGAUGAUAAUGACAGUACCGGGAGAAUAAGCUCCGGCUAACUCCGUG